Molecule: ribosomal RNA, 497 nt
Filed under: uncultured bacterium
Lineage: Bacteria
Description: partial 16S ribosomal RNA
Rfam family: Bacterial small subunit ribosomal RNA
Source: RNAcentral
GAUGAACGCUGGCGGCGUGCCUAAUACAUGCAAGUCGAGCGAACAGACGAGGAGCUUGCUCCUCUGACGUUAGCGGCGGACGGGUGAGUAACACGUGGAUAACCUACCUAUAAGACUGGGAUAACUUCGGGAAACCGGAGCUAAUACCGGAUAAUAUAUUGAACCGCAUGGUUCAAUAGUGAAAGACGGUUUUGCUGUCACUUAUAGAUGGAUCCGCGCCGCAUUAGCUAGUUGGUAAGGUAACGGCUUACCAAGGCAACGAUGCGUAGCCGACCUGAGAGGGUGAUCGGCCACACAGGAACUGAGACACGGUCCAGACUCCUACGGGAGGCAGCAGUAGGGAAUCUUCCGCAAUGGGCGAAAGCCUGACGGAGCAACGCCGCGUGAGUGAUGAAGGUCUUCGGAUCGUAAAACUCUGUUAUUAGGGAAGAACAAAUGUGUAAGUAACUAUGCACGUCUUGACGGUACCUAAUCAGAAAGCCACGGCUAACUACGUG